This 94-nucleotide non-coding RNA is filed under the name Rhodococcus jostii RHA1. RNAcentral describes it as "SAM riboswitch aptamer (S box leader)". It matches the Rfam family "SAM riboswitch aptamer (S box leader)". From Rfam's summary of the family: The SAM riboswitch is found upstream of a number of genes which code for proteins involved in methionine or cysteine biosynthesis in Gram-positive bacteria. The SAM riboswitch acts at the level of transcription termination control. The record is from Rfam by way of RNAcentral. RNAcentral also lists the same sequence under 1 other name. Lineage: Bacteria; Bacillati; Actinomycetota; Actinomycetes; Mycobacteriales; Nocardiaceae.
CGACCAUCCAGAGCGACCGAGAGACCUGGCUCGUUGACGUCGCAGCAACCCCCCGCCCUGCGGGUGCGGGUGCUACCGCCGGGAUCGAUGGAGG